UCACCAGAUCUGAUUAUGAUUUCCCGGUCCUCACUGACCUUGUGGACCAUGGCCGUGUCUCCAAAAUCUCAGCUGAACACUCAGGAUGGCACGGCGAGAAGGCUCUCUCACCAGAUGCCAGCCCCUCAGCCUUGGACUUCCUAACCACCAGAACUGGCAACCCGUUUCCAUGAAAACAGGACAGUGAGUAGUAGGAAGAAGAGUAUCAGUGGUGAUCUUUACCAUCAUUUAUCGGGAGCAAACUUGAAUUAGUUUCUUUGGGAGGAAAACUUCCUCUGAAGACUACAAGGAAGCGGAAGAUAGUACAGUCACUCAGGCAGUCCAAGGCAGGCAUGAGAUGGCCUUGUAAGAGAACACUGCCUCCUUGAAGACUGCCAUAAGCCAUGAGGAAUGUCUUCUAAAUC
This is a long non-coding RNA of Homo sapiens (human), 404 nucleotides long. RefSeq lists it as uncharacterized. The transcript is spliced from 4 exons. Lineage: Eukaryota; Metazoa; Chordata; Mammalia; Primates; Hominidae. The record is from RefSeq and is a predicted model, not a curated record.